RNAcentral lists this microRNA precursor (206 nucleotides) under Asparagus officinalis (garden asparagus). RNAcentral's name for it is "miR12141 stem-loop (aof-MIR12141)". The record is from miRBase by way of RNAcentral. Lineage: Eukaryota; Viridiplantae; Streptophyta; Magnoliopsida; Asparagales; Asparagaceae.
CUCAAUGUGUCACCUUAACUCGUACCUGUUAGCUUUAUCACAUUGGUGUAUAUUUCAUCGGAAGAAUGCAGAACAAGUUGUUCAAACAUGGGAUAAGCAAUUCCAUAGUGCCCAAAAAGAGCAAAAAGUACCACUUCUAUAUCUUGCCAAUGACAUCUUGCAAAACAGCAAGCGGACAGGAUCAGAGUUUGUUGGUGAGUUUUGGA